Molecule: non-coding RNA, 485 nt
Filed under: Drosophila virilis
Lineage: Eukaryota; Metazoa; Arthropoda; Insecta; Diptera; Drosophilidae
Description: Eukaryotic large subunit ribosomal RNA
Rfam family: Eukaryotic large subunit ribosomal RNA
Source: Rfam by way of RNAcentral
AGUUUUACCCGUCUGAGACAGGUUAUUUUACCUACUAAUGACAAAACGGUGUUCGACAGCAUUCCUGCGUAGUGCGAGAGGAACCGCAGGUACGGACCAAUGGCACAAUACUUGUUCGAGCGAACAGUGGUAAGACGCUACGUCCGUUGGAUUAUGCCUGAACGCCUCUAAGGUCGUAUCCGUGCUGGACUGCAAUGAAUAAAUAAGGGGCAAUUUGCAUUGUAUGGCUUCUAAACCAUUAAAAGUUUUUAAUUUGUUUUAUUAACGACAAUGGAUGUGAUGCCAAUGUUAUUUAUAACAUAGUAAAUUGGGAGGAUCUUCGAUCACCUGAUGCCGCGCUAGUUAUAUUUUAAAACAUUAUUUAAUACAAUGUCAAAGCCUAGAAUCAAUUGUAAACGACUUUUGUAACAGGCAAGGUGUUGUAAGUGGUUGAGCAGCUGCCAUACUGCGAUCCACUGAAGCUUAUCCUUUGCUUGAUGAUUCGA